CAGGAGGUGGGGGGGGAUCCCUCAGCCCAGAUUGCGAGAGGGUGCAGGCCAGGCCGAGGGACCCCACCAGUGCAUG
RNAcentral lists this microRNA precursor (76 nucleotides) under Myotis davidii. RNAcentral describes it as "mir-9193 microRNA precursor family". It matches the Rfam family "mir-9193 microRNA precursor family". The record is from Rfam by way of RNAcentral. Lineage: Eukaryota; Metazoa; Chordata; Mammalia; Chiroptera; Vespertilionidae.